ACACGUGAGCAAUCUGCCCUCCACAUCGGGAUAACCCCCGGAAACGGGAGCUAAUACCGGAUACGACCACUUCAGGCAUCUGAUGGUGGUGGAAAGUUCCGGCGGUGCAGGAUGAGCUCGCGGCCUAUCAGCUUGUUGGUGGGGUAACGGCCCACCAAGGCUUCGACGGGUAGCCGGCCUGAGAGGGUGACCGGCCACACUGGGACUGAGACACGGCCCAGACUCCUACGGGAGGCAGCAGUGGGGAAUAUUGGACAAUGGGCGAAAGCCUGAUCCAGCAACGCCGCGUGAGGGAUGACG
RNAcentral lists this ribosomal RNA (300 nucleotides) under uncultured Nocardioidaceae bacterium. Its description in RNAcentral is "bacterial SSU rRNA". It matches the Rfam family "Bacterial small subunit ribosomal RNA", at positions 113 to 413 of the family's 1533-position model. The record is from RNAcentral. Lineage: Bacteria; Bacillati; Actinomycetota; Actinomycetes; Propionibacteriales; Nocardioidaceae.